GUGACAAGAAAUAACAAUACAGGGCAUCCAUGUCUUGUAAUUGGAAUGAGUAGAAUUUAAAUCCCUUUACGAGUAUCAAUUGGAGGGCAAGUCUGGUGCCAGCAGCCGCGGUAAUUCCAGCUCCAAUAGCGUAUAUUAAAGUUGUUGCGGUUAAAAAGCUCGUAGUUGGAUUUCUGGUUCAGAGGGCUUGGCCCAUGGCCAAUUUUAGGUUCAUGAGUGCCGAUGCUUUCGUACCAUCCUUUCGGUGAUGAUUCAGGUCCCCUUCAUUGGGUCAGCCUGGUUGUUCCGGAUCUUUUGCUUUGAAAAAAUUAGAGUGUUUAAAGCAAGCUGUGUGUUGAAUACAUUAGCAUGGAAUAAUAAGAUAGGACUUCGGAACUAUUUUGUUGGUUUGCGUUACGAAGUAAUGAUUAAUAGGGACAGUUGGGGGUAUUCGUAUUUCGUUGUCAGAGGUGAAAUUCUUGGAUUUCCGAAAGACGAACUACUGCGAAAGCAUUUACCAAGGAUGUUUUCAUUAAUCAAGAACGAAAGUUAGGGGAUCGAAGAUGAUUAGAUACCAUCGUAGUCUUAACCAUAAACUAUGCCGACUCGGGAUUGGCGGUUGUUUUUUGACUCCGUCAGCACCGUAUGAGAAAUCAAAGUCUUUGGGUUCCGGGGGGAGUAUGGUCGCAAGGCUGAAAUCCAUAUGACUAG
RNAcentral lists this ribosomal RNA (690 nucleotides) under uncultured eukaryote. RNAcentral's name for it is "bacterial SSU rRNA". It matches the Rfam family "Eukaryotic small subunit ribosomal RNA", at positions 467 to 1155 of the family's 1831-position model. The record is from RNAcentral.